AUCUAUGGCCAUGCCACCCUGAACAUGCCCGAUCCCGUUUGAUCUCGGAAGCUAAGCAGGUUUGGGCCUGGUUAGUACUUGGAUAGGAGACCACCUAGGAAGACCAGGUGCUGUAGGUG
This 119-nucleotide ribosomal RNA is filed under the name Pteropus alecto (black flying fox). The record is from RNAcentral. Lineage: Eukaryota; Metazoa; Chordata; Mammalia; Chiroptera; Pteropodidae.